CUUUUACUCUUAAAGCUACUAUCAAAGUUAAUAGUUUCAAAUUAUUAAGAGUAAAAGCUAUCCUCGUCAACUUUGAGUGUAGGUAUUAGCAAAUCCUGGCUACUAUUAUCUUCUUCUUCUUCUUUAUGGCGGGCUCGUUGCUAAGGACGCCUCCGUGCAAAACGUAAACAUCCGACAUGAAUUAAGUAUAUAUUUCAAAAGAAUAAUAAAGAAAAGAUGUAUAAAUGUACAACAGAAACAUAAUAAAUGGCAAACACAAGAAAAUACUGAGUCUUGUGGCAGAUAGAAGCAGCCUCAAAGGCUGCUUUUACUCCGUCACUCGUCAAUACCCGUAUCUCCCCGCCUGCGUCACGACUUGCUCUGCUGAAAUUACCGCACCAUAACCACGUCAUCUGCCCCAAUGAGCACAUCUACGGGCCGGGGAACCAGCGCAGAAAAGGAGUAAGUUUAAUUGGUCGCCAGAUGAAACGGUCUUACAUCAAAUUCAAGAAAAAAUACGUAUAAUCAGAGGGUGUUAUGGGAAGAGUAUCACCCCUGAGGAUAAGAAGAGAGCGUGGACUGAAGUGGCAGAAGCUGUAACAAGUGCCUUCCCUGGGAGUGGACCCCGUACGCAGGAUGACUGUGAGAGGCGUUGGUACAACGUACAACAAAAAUCAAAGCCUUGCAUUGCCAAGUGCAAGAAUGAGCAGCGGCAGACUGAUACACACUUUAUCAGUAUUGCUAGAGACCAUCCCAGCACAUUGUUCAUUACUUGUGGAAAAGAUACCAUUAGCUGCUCCGGCAACAGCCACUGCUUCAAUAUCUGCUGGCCCUAUGACACCAGCCACUGCUUCAUCAUCUGCUGGCCCAAUGACACCAGCCACUGCUUCAUCAUCUGCUGGCCCAAUGACACCUGCCACUGCAAGGGAUGACAAUGAAGCUGCUCCACCACAGUCACCACCUACUUCA
Molecule: long non-coding RNA, 948 nt
Organism: Eriocheir sinensis (Chinese mitten crab)
Lineage: Eukaryota; Metazoa; Arthropoda; Malacostraca; Decapoda; Varunidae
Exons: 3
Source: RefSeq, a predicted model, not a curated record